AGAGUUUGAUCCUGGCUCAGGACGAACGCUGGCGGCGUGCUUAACACAUGCAAGUCGAACGAUGAACCUGGAGCUUGCUCUAGGGAAUUAGUGGCGAACGGGUGAGUAACACGUGAGUAACCUGCCCUUGACUCUGGGAUAACCUCCGGAAACGGAAGCUAAUACCGGAUACGACGUACGGAGGCAUCUCCUGUACGUGG
Molecule: ribosomal RNA, 200 nt
Filed under: uncultured bacterium
Lineage: Bacteria
Description: partial 16S ribosomal RNA
Rfam family: Bacterial small subunit ribosomal RNA
Source: RNAcentral